This 433-nucleotide ribosomal RNA is filed under the name uncultured bacterium. Its description in RNAcentral is "partial 16S ribosomal RNA". It matches the Rfam family "Bacterial small subunit ribosomal RNA", at positions 29 to 507 of the family's 1533-position model. The record is from RNAcentral.
AGCGAACGCUGGCGGCAGGCUUAACACAUGCAAGUCGAGCGGGCACUUCGGUGUCAGCGGCAGACGGGUGAGUAACACGUGGGAACGUACCCUUUGGUUCGGAAUAACGCUGGGAAACUAGCGCUAAUACCGGAUACGCCCUUUUGGGGAAAGGCUUGCUGCCGAAGGAUCGGCCCGCGUCUGAUUAGCUAGUUGGCGGGGUAAUGGCCUACCAAGGCGACGAUCAGUAGCUGGUCUGAGAGGAUGAUCAGCCACACUGGGACUGAGACACGGCCCAGACUCCUACGGGAGGCAGCAGUGGGGAAUAUUGGACAAUGGGCGCAAGCCUGAUCCAGCCAUGCCGCGUGAGUGAUGAAGGCCUUAGGGUUGUAAAGCUCUUUUGUCCGGGACGAUAAUGACGGUACCGGAAGAAUAAGCCCCGGCUAACUUCGUG